GAUCAUUAUCGAUUAUAAAUCGUUGACGUAAGUGUUGGCUCCGGCAAGUGCACGCUGGUCACUUGCAUCCAACACCCUUGUGUACCUUUGUCCUCUUGCAAGUUUGGGUUCGCAGAGGAUUUAUACACAAACUCGAAUGUAAUGAAAAACUUUGUUGUGUGCGCAAGCACCAAUGUACAACUUUCAACAACGGAUCUUUUGGCUCUUGCAUUGAUGAAGAACGCAGAGAAAUGUGAUAAGUAACGUGAAUUGCAGAAUUCAGUGAAUCAUCGAAUCUUUGAACGCACCUUGCACCCUUUGGUAUUCCGAAGGGUAUGCUCGUUUGAGUGUCAUUGUACUCUCACACUCUCCAAUUUGGUAUUGGGGAGUUGUGGACUUGGGUGUUGCUCAUUCACUGUCAGGCUCACCUCAAAUGGGGUAGUACAACUCUUGGUUAGCCAUAAAACGGGGUGAUAAGCCUUUUCGCUGUGCCUCGCAAGAGGGUGCCUAAUCGGGAGUCCCGGCUUCACACGCCCUUCCCCCAAUCUUGACUAGGUGACCUCAGAUCAUGUACG
This 554-nucleotide ribosomal RNA is filed under the name uncultured Sebacina. RNAcentral describes it as "eukaryotic LSU rRNA". The stretch from base 179 to 332 matches the Rfam family "5.8S ribosomal RNA". The record is from RNAcentral. Lineage: Eukaryota; Fungi; Basidiomycota; Agaricomycetes; Sebacinales; Sebacinaceae.